GGGGUUGAUUUUGGAUUUGACAAAAUUUUAUAAUACUAAUUCGCAUGACGAGGUUCGGUUUGCCUCGAUAAAAAACCGAAAAUAAAAUAUCUGCAAAAAAUAAACAGGAAUAUGCUUUAGCAGCUUAAAAAACUGAUUUAAAGCCCAUUUAAAUCUUAUUGUUUUCUCUUACAAAUUAAGAUUAUCUAAAAUGGUCAUAAAAAUUAGAGAUCGCAUAUCAGUAACGUUUUUUUACUAAUAUGUUAAAAAAAUAAAACUCAGUUUCUUAAAUAGGUCUUUAAUAAAAAGAAGCUUAAAAAAAUACAUAAAAGACUAAUCAUGUAGUGUUUUAGUAAAAUUAAAAUUUUGGACGCGGGUUCAAAUCCCGCCAACUCCAA
RNAcentral lists this transfer-messenger RNA (377 nucleotides) under Buchnera aphidicola (Periphyllus lyropictus). It matches the Rfam family "transfer-messenger RNA". Rfam says of the family: Bacterial tmRNA, also known as 10Sa RNA or SsrA, is named for its dual tRNA and mRNA-like properties. Its role is to liberate the mRNA from a stalled ribosome. The record is from RNAcentral. Lineage: Bacteria; Pseudomonadati; Pseudomonadota; Gammaproteobacteria; Enterobacterales; Erwiniaceae.